GAAGGUCUCGGUGCUGCGCCCUGGGCCGCUCCUCGGCAGCUCUUGGGGGCCUUGGGCGUUUGACGCCCGCCUGCCCGGGACUGUGGUCCCUAAAACGCCCUGUGUCCUGGCUGUCAUGGCAACAGUUGUCAGCGGACAAACGACACUCCCUGGACAUUCGUGCGGCCGCGUCACGGCUGUUGACUGCCGCCGUCUGGUGUACAGGUCUCAGCAGUGGCGGCCUCAGGACCUAUUCUUCAUAAGGCUAUUACUUCAGUAACAGGAAAUGUAGAUGACUUUCUUAACACAGAGAAACAGGCACAGAGAGACAAAAUGAGAAGACAGAAGAAUGUGUCUCAAAUGUAAGAACAAGACAAGGCCACAACCAGAGAUCUAAGCAAAAAAAAAAAAAGUAACAUGUUUGAUGGAAUAUUGAAAGCAAUGAUCAUAGGGACUAUCACUUCCAGUCUUGAGAAAAGAGCGGAAGACAUAAAUGAGACCCUUAACAUAGAUAAAGAAGAAAUAAACAGAUGAAGAAUGCAGCAAGCAAGGUCAGAAACAUGCUUGAUGCAACAAAUAGCAAUUUGGAAGAAGUAGAGGAAUGAAUUAAUGACCUAGAAGACAGAGUAAUGGAAAAUAAUCAAGCUGAACAAAAGAGAGAAAAAAGAAUUACACAAAACAAUAAUAGAUAUAGGAAACUCAAUGAUUCCAUCAAAUGUAAAAACAUGAUUCUCAGAGAAAGAAAAAAGUGGACAGAAAUUUUAUUUGAAGAACUAGUAGCUGACUCCUUUCCAACUAGGGCCUGGCAUAAUGGCUCCCGCAAAGAAGGGUGUCGAGAAGAAGGGCCGUUCUGCCAUCAACGAGGUAGUGACCAGAGAAUACACCAUCAGCAUUCACAAACGUAUCCAUGGAGUGGGUUUCAAGAAGUGUGCCCCUCGGGCACUCAAAGAGAUCCGGAAAUUUGCCAUGAAGGAGAUGGGAACUCCAGAUGUGCGCAUUGACACCAGGCUCAACAAAGCUGUCUGGGCCAAAGGAAUAAGGAAUGUUCCAACCGUAUCCAUGUGUGGUUGUCCAGAAAACAUCACAAGGAUGAAGAUUCACCAAACAAGCUCUACACACUGAUUACCUACGUACCUGUCACCACUUUCAAAAAUCUACAGACUGUUAAUGUGGAUGAGAACUAAUCGCUGAUUGUCAAAUAAAGGUAUAAAACUGUGAAAGAAAGAAAAA
Molecule: long non-coding RNA, 1209 nt
Filed under: Canis lupus familiaris (dog)
Lineage: Eukaryota; Metazoa; Chordata; Mammalia; Carnivora; Canidae
Description: lncRNA (ENSCAFG00000054612.1, ENSCAFG00845003954.1)
Source: RNAcentral